RNAcentral lists this ribosomal RNA (425 nucleotides) under uncultured bacterium. RNAcentral describes it as "partial 16S ribosomal RNA". It matches the Rfam family "Bacterial small subunit ribosomal RNA", at positions 354 to 796 of the family's 1533-position model. The record is from RNAcentral.
GUGGGGAAUCUUGCGCAAUGGGCGAAAGCCUGACGCAGCCAUGCCGCGUGAAUGAUGAAGGUCUUAGGAUUGUAAAAUUCUUUCACCGGGGACGAUAAUGACGGUACCCGGAGAAGAAGCUCCGGCUAACUUCGUGCCAGCAGCCGCGGUAAUACGAAGGGGGCUAGCGUUGCUCGGAAUUACUGGGCGUAAAGGGCGCGUAGGCGGACAGCUUAGUCAGAGGUGAAAGCCAAGGGCUCAACCUUGGAAUUGCCUUUGAUACUGGCUGUCUUGAGUUUGGGAGAGGUGAGUGGAACUCCGAGUGUAGAGGUGAAAUUCGUAGAUAUUCGGAAGAACACCAGUGGCGAAGGCGACUCACUGGCCCAAUACUGACGCUGAGGCGCGAAAGCGUGGGGAGCAAACAGGAUUAGAAACCCCUGUAGUCC